RNAcentral lists this ribosomal RNA (292 nucleotides) under uncultured bacterium. Its description in RNAcentral is "partial 16S ribosomal RNA". It matches the Rfam family "Bacterial small subunit ribosomal RNA", at positions 399 to 691 of the family's 1533-position model. The record is from RNAcentral.
GCGUGGGUGAUGAAGCACUGAGGUGCGUAAAGCCCUGUUAGGAGGGAAGAACAGUUCCGCUUGCGGAAUUUGACGGUACCUCCAGAGAAAGCUCCGGCUAACUCCGUGCCAGCAGCCGCGGUAAUACGGGGGGAGCAAGCGUUGUCCGGAUUUACUGGGCGUAAAGAGAGUGUAGGCGGGAUGGUCAGUCAGUGGUGAAAACUUACGGCUUAACCGUAAGCUUGCUUCUGAUACUGCCAUUCUUGAGUGCGGAAGGGGGAAGCGGAAUUCCUGGUGUAGCGGUGAAAUGCGU